CCUACGGGAGGCAGCAGUGAGGAAUAUUGGUCAAUGGGCGCGAGCCUGAACCAGCCAAGUAGCGUGAAGGAUGACUGCCCUACGGGUUGUAAACUUUUUUUAUAAAGGAAUAAAGUGAGGCACUAGUGCCUUUUUGUAUGUACUUUAUGCAUAAGGAUCGGCUAACUUCGCGCCAGCAGCCGCGGUACUACGGAGGAUCCGAGCGUUAUCCGGAUUUAUUGGGUUUAAAGGGAGCGUAGAUGGGUUGUUAAGUCAGUUGUGAAAGUUUGCGGCUCAACCGUAAAAUUGCAAUUGAUACUGGCAGCCGUGAGUACAGUUGAGGUAGGCAGAAUUCGUGGUGUAGCGGUGAAAUGCUUAGAUAUCACGAAGAACACCGAUUGCGAAGGCAGCCUACUAAACUGCCACUGACAUUGAUGCUCGAAAGUGUGGGUAUCAAACAGGAUUAGAUACCCUAGUAGUC
RNAcentral lists this ribosomal RNA (460 nucleotides) under uncultured bacterium. RNAcentral's name for it is "partial 16S ribosomal RNA". It matches the Rfam family "Bacterial small subunit ribosomal RNA", at positions 338 to 795 of the family's 1533-position model. The record is from RNAcentral.